Capsicum annuum is the source of this 541-nucleotide long non-coding RNA. RefSeq lists it as uncharacterized. The transcript has 2 exons. The record is from RefSeq and is a predicted model, not a curated record. NCBI's taxonomy places the organism in Eukaryota, Viridiplantae, Streptophyta, Magnoliopsida, Solanales, Solanaceae.
CCGAAACUCAAAACAAUUCUCAUAUCCACUUUGUCAUUCCACACAAAUUGAUCUAGUCCGUUAAAUUAUUUGUAGUCUGAUAAGUAUCAAAAAUUCUAAAAUAUGCCUAUAAAAGGAGGGGUUCUGCCAUUCCUUUGGGGCAAAGGGAGAAAAUUAAGGAAAGAGAAACAAUAGUGUCAAAAUAAGUGAAAAUAGAGCAAAUUAGAGAUCAGACGUUCAGAAUCCUCGGAGUUGAAUUCGCCGUUGAAAAACCCUUGUCGCCGUAGCUCCAGUUUUGCUGCACCAAAAAAGGAGAUGGAGUUUUAAUCGAAACUCCUUUUGACCCAACUAUCGGGUCAAACGCUACUAGGAUCACGAGUUUCGGAGUCGUGCGAGAUAGAAGUUUGAACUCCGAAAUGGAUUCUAGUACUCCAAGCCGUUUCUUUUUUUUAGCUUACUCAUUAUGUUAUGCUUUCUUUUGGGAUGUUAACCAACUCUAUUUUGUCGGUACAUUUGCUUGAGGUAGCUUUAUUUGUUUAUAAUUGCUUUGUUACGUAUCAAA